Molecule: non-coding RNA, 21 nt
Filed under: Caenorhabditis elegans
Lineage: Eukaryota; Metazoa; Nematoda; Chromadorea; Rhabditida; Rhabditidae
Source: RNAcentral
UUCUCAUGCCAGCAAACAUUU